UCAGGGGACAGUACACGAGAAAUGCCACAAUACAUGAUGAAGCCAUCAUCUCCAAUGGGAAUUUUGGAGGGGACAAAGAACUAACAUGUUCCUGCUGGCUUGCAGGGGGAUCGCGGGAAGGAUGGCUUGAAAGGCGAAAGAGGUCCUCCAGGCCCAAAGGGAGAACCCGGUCCACCAGGCAAAGGAGUGGAAAUGAAGGAUCUGGAGAGGCUUUUUGAAGCAAAUGGUAUCAAGCUGGCACUGCUGAAGGACCUCUCCAAUGCACUCCUGCAGGAUGGGCUGGUGUGGCAACUGGGUGGCUCCAGGACAAGCAAGACCUCCGGGAGAAAGCAAGCAGUUCUUCAUGCUACUGAGCAUGGCGAUUCACUGGUGUUUGAUACUUCUCCUGAUGCCCUGGCCAGCACUGAGGCAACAGAAGAAGCACAGAGCCUGGAGGUGGAGGCUCAGUUUAGGGUGCCGGUGUCUGGAGGACUCCUUAAGGGUCCGUCUGCUGGUGGUUCUGAACCUGAGUACCAGCCCCUAGGAAACCCUCCUGAGUCCUUGGAGAAAACAUCUGAGGAAGGAAAGGAGGAGAGAGACUCAAGAUGGACAAUCACUUCUCUCAGUAGUAGCUUGGCUUUGCCCCCACUGCACCCAGAAGAUGAUCUGCAAGGAAACCAGUCCAUGGAGCUUCUUGAGUCCCUGGAGGGGAGAGUGGAAGGACAACCACAGCAGGACACUGGCCACGAAAAUGAGAAUUUAGACGACGGCUCUGCGCUCCCAAGGCUCAUUAGAGCCCAGAGAUCUGCUGAGGACCAGAGGCACAUGGUAAAGACCCCGUUUCACCACGACAGCUUCGGGCUGGCCUUUGUGCAAGAGCAGAGCCAUCGGUGUGACCCAGGAGGAAGCGGCGACCCUUCCUUGUUGGCUCCAUCACAGGUUCAUCCCCCUGGUGCCCCGGGAGCUCGGAAAUCCCCAUCUGGAUCCACGGUGAGUGAAGACCUCAUAGAAAGGUGUCUUCAAACACAUGGAUGCAAGGGCAAUCCCACUUGCCUCCUUUCACUUGUGCAAAGUCAGGAUGAAAGUAGAGGGG
This 1072-nucleotide long non-coding RNA is filed under the name Calidris pygmaea (Spoon-billed sandpiper). Its description in RNAcentral is "lncRNA (ENSCPGG00000013236.1)". Lineage: Eukaryota; Metazoa; Chordata; Aves; Charadriiformes; Scolopacidae. The record is from RNAcentral.